UAAGGAAUAUUGCUCAAUGGGAGAAAUCCUGAAGCAGCAACGCCGCGUGGAGGAUGAAGGGCUUUCAGCUUGUAAACUCCUGUAAAGAAGGAAAAAAUUCCCAUUAGAUGGGAAAUGAUGGUACUUCUAAAGUAAGCCCCGGCUAACUACGUGCCAGCAGCCGCGGUAAUACGUAGGGGGCAAGCGUUGUCCGGAUUUACUGGGUGUAAAGGGUGCUCAGGCGGAUUUGUAAGUCAGAGGUGAAAUCUCACAGCUUAACUGUGAAACUGCCUUUGAUACUGCAAGUCUAGAGUAUGGAAGAGAGUGAUGGAAUGUCUGGUGUAGCAGUGAAAUGCGUAGAUAUCAGAUAGAACACCAAUGGCGAAGGCAGUCAACUGGCCCGAUUCUGACGCUAAAGCACGAAAGUGUGGGUAGCAAACA
This 420-nucleotide ribosomal RNA is filed under the name uncultured prokaryote. RNAcentral describes it as "bacterial SSU rRNA". It matches the Rfam family "Bacterial small subunit ribosomal RNA", at positions 355 to 774 of the family's 1533-position model. The record is from RNAcentral.